Molecule: small nuclear RNA, 107 nt
Organism: Vulpes vulpes (red fox)
Lineage: Eukaryota; Metazoa; Chordata; Mammalia; Carnivora; Canidae
Source: Ensembl
GUGCUCACUUCAGCAGCACAUCCACUAAAAUAGGAACCACACAGAGAAGAUUAGCAUGGCCUCUGUGCAAGGAUGACAUGCAAAUUUGUGAAGGGUUCCACAUUUUG